GAAGGGAGGAGGUGAUGGGAACCAAGCCUGCUCAGUCACGCUGAUUUAGGAACGUGUGGGAAUGUUUGUUCCUGCAGGGUUGUCUGGUGGAGGACUUCUAAGCCGGGAGGCGAUGACCAGAAACAGGACCUACCCAGCCACGCUAAUUGGUGAGCUAACGAGCUCCAGGAGCCACUUCCAGGAAGGACGAACCUCGCAGCUGCUCUCUACUUGUGUGCGUACUUGUGGGCACCGAGAGCGUGGUGCGUGUGCCUGCACUCGUCUCUCUUCACCUCGCCGAGCGUCACUCAUCGAGGGAGUGAGCGGCGCUUCCUGAUGGGGAACGUGAAGCAGAGAGAGAUGCAGCUCCGGAGCCAGAGCCUGUCCGUGUGUCCCUCUUCCCAGCUGGGUGUGAACACAGCAGUCCCUCUUGCUCCUCAAUCUUGCCCCUGCAAUCCAGCAUAGGGCCGGUUCCCACUGGUGCCCCCUGCCCCACACGGGGCUGUAGGAGCUGGGAGGCACAUUAUUCCCCUCACUGCACUUGUGGGGAGAUCUCCUACAGCGGCUGUGGAGAACCGAUGGGAAAACCUUGAUAAUAAACGCUGCGAGCCGCAGGACUGAAGUUAUCAAAAAGUCAGUGCAGCUUUACUGCAUUUCAUGCCAAUUUAAUAAAAUCUGCUUUCCAUCUAC
Molecule: non-coding RNA, 669 nt
Organism: Anas platyrhynchos (mallard)
Lineage: Eukaryota; Metazoa; Chordata; Aves; Anseriformes; Anatidae
Source: RefSeq, a predicted model, not a curated record